This 465-nucleotide long non-coding RNA is filed under the name Brassica rapa (field mustard). RNAcentral's name for it is "long non-coding RNA (BRAP_LNC002289)". Lineage: Eukaryota; Viridiplantae; Streptophyta; Magnoliopsida; Brassicales; Brassicaceae. The record is from RNAcentral.
CCAUACCAAACUACGUUGAAAUAUUAUUGCAUUUUUCAGAACAUCAACAUUUUUUUUCAGAACAUCAACAUAGACAUAGAAACAAAAGUGAACAUAAAGAGAACACAAAUCAACACAAUAAAUUUUUAUCUUUGCUUGAAAUAGAAAGAGAUAGUGGUAAAGGAAGACAACAGACUUUAGUUUUAUUUUGCAGCUAGAAAACUAAAAAAAAUAGUGAAUUACGUGAGUUGUGAGUUAGGGUUAAAUGUUUCUUAUUUUAUAUUAAAAUGUUAGUUACUAAGGUUGAUUGAACUUCGUUCAACUUUUAUUUUUAAGAAAAAAGUCAAAACAAACGCAUAUACAGUAAGAUUAUACGGACUACGCGGGCUAUAUGCGGCCGUAUAUACACCGCUUUAUAUCAAACCGUAUAUCAUGGAACAUAUGAUGAUUACGGUACGUUGACUAACCGCAUAGCGUAUAUUGAAC